This 312-nucleotide ribosomal RNA is filed under the name uncultured Glomeromycotina. RNAcentral describes it as "LSU rRNA". The record is from RNAcentral. Lineage: Eukaryota; Fungi; Glomeromycota.
UUGAAAGGGAAACGAUUGAAGUCAGUCAUGCCGGUGGGAAUCAACUUAGGGGAAACUCUAGGUGCACUUCUUCGCUUGGCAGGUCAACGUCGAUUUUGAAUGUCAUAAAAUAAUUGGGGGAAGGUAGCCCCUUCGGGAGUGUUAUAGCCCUUGAUAGAUGUGAUGUUUGGGGUCGAGGAUUGCAACGGAUACCCUCUGGGGCUAGCCGCCUGAUCUCUAAUCGGUGUUGGGUUACGGAUAGCAUGCUGACCGUGAUCUAAUUACUGGUUAAAAGGUUAGAGCAUGCAUAAAUUCGUUAAGGAUGUUGACGUA